This 89-nucleotide non-coding RNA is filed under the name Pseudomonas sp. 29. Lineage: Bacteria; Pseudomonadati; Pseudomonadota; Gammaproteobacteria; Pseudomonadales; Pseudomonadaceae. The record is from RNAcentral.
AGUAGGAGUGAGCCUGCUCGCGAUAACGGUAUGUCAGUUAAAGAUGAUUUGAAUGACCGACCGCUAUCGCGAGCAGGCUCACUCCUACA